CCUACGGGCGGCAGCAGUGAGGAAUAUUGGUCAAUGGACGAGAGUCUGAACCAGCCAAGUAGCGUGAAGGAAGACUGCCCUAUGGGUUGUAAACUUCUUUUAUAUGGGAAUAAAAUGUUCCACGUGUGGGAUUUUGUAUGUAACACUUGAAUACGGAUGGGCUAACACCGUGCCAGCAGCCGCGGUAAUACGGAGGAUGCGAGCGUUAACCGGAUUUAGUGGGUUUAAAGGGAGCGUAGGUGGAUUGUUAAGUCAGUUGUGAAAGUUUGCGGCUCAACCGUAAAAUUGCAGUUGAAACUGGCAGUGUUGAGUACAGUAGAGGUGGGCGGAAUUCGUGGUGUAGCGGUGAAAUGCUUAGAUAUCACGAAGAACUCCGAUUGCGAAGGCAGCUCACUGGACUGCAACUGACACUGAGGCUCGAAAGUGUGGGUAUCAAACAGGAUUAGAUACCCUUGUAGUC
Molecule: ribosomal RNA, 460 nt
Filed under: uncultured bacterium
Lineage: Bacteria
Description: partial 16S ribosomal RNA
Rfam family: Bacterial small subunit ribosomal RNA
Source: RNAcentral